Long non-coding RNA from Passer domesticus (house sparrow), 4274 nucleotides. RefSeq lists it as uncharacterized. Lineage: Eukaryota; Metazoa; Chordata; Aves; Passeriformes; Passeridae. The record is from RefSeq and is a predicted model, not a curated record. The transcript is spliced from 3 exons.
UCUAUAAUAUCCAGUAAUACAGAGAAUUUGCUAAAAACAAAUCAUAACUAAAAGCAAAGAGUAAUUUUUUUUUGCAAAUCCAACUGAUUCCCAAGUAUCCAGAAGGAUUUUAAGAACCACAGAGCUCUUUUUUAAAAGUUAUAUUCUCCAUUCAGACACCAGCUAGUUCAGGACAUCCUAUGGCUCCCAUUUUCAGAAGUCAGAUAUAGUCAGUGCACUUGCUAUGAAAAAAAAGUUGAAGUGAAAAAAUAACCAAUUCCAUCAUACAUGGCUGUUUGCCAGUAUUGUAGAGGACCCAUAGAGUUUAUUUGAUUACUUUUAAAUAAAAGUCAGUCGGUCAAAGAUUGUUAUUUCCCAAAGAUUUAAAGCUUUGUUUGGAAACAGUGUUUGGUUGGCAACUUCUAAACUCUUUAUGUCACCCCUCUGUGGCUAUAUAAAUGGCCUCAUCGUACUGACAUUUUCCUUCCAAAGGCAUAACAAGCCAACUAGUUUCUCUCUACCUCGUUCAGAGCCACCUGCCAUAAAUACUUUGUAUUUGAUUAUUGCUAAGCUGAAUUCCAAGCACCCAAUUCACCCCGGUUUAUAGCCUCAUAACAGUCUGGGUUAUAAAUGAUUAUCAUCUCCCAAAUGGCAGCUACCAGUGCUGUUACUGUAUGCCAUAACUUCUCCUGAGAAAGACAUGGAAGCAGCAUCUGCUGUAGCUUCAGCAUUUCAUUAGGCAGGCUGUUUGCUUUUCUCACAGGGCAAAGACUCAGGCCUGCACCUCCACCUGAUAGAUCAGCCAGACACGGUAGAGGAUUUAAAAGAGAUCAUUUGUGAAAACUGGACAAACUGGAAUGCUCCAGAAGCUUUCUCUGUGCUCCCACUCCAUAAGGGCCAGGUACUCUUCCCUUUAUACCUCACCUGGAAGACUGAGAGACUCUCCUUGCAUUCAGAGCAAAAUAUCCCCUCCUGCUGAAUUCAACAAUCCAACUGGCUGCAAUGUUGACAGGUUGAGUUAAAAAACCAGAACAACCACUUGAGCUACUUUCAGUGACUUUCCCUCCCCUGCAGGAACACAUCCAAGAGCUUCAGUAUAUGCACUUCAUCACAGCAGACAAGCAGCCAACAAAGAAUUAUCUGCCCCACUGACUUUGACACACCCAUUUCUAAUUGUUCUUCUGCUCAGCUUUUGGCGAGGAAGGACGAGGCAAUGUCAGCAAUUCAGCUUUCUGGGGGAGCACAAAGCGUGGCUCUAACAGCACUGUGACGAUGACAGCCAAGAGGCCAUUGUCCACACGGUCGUGGUGGAGCACGGGACCACAGCUGGGAGCCAGAAUGAGUUGGCAAACAUCUUGUUCCAACUUCUGCCGUGCCAUCUGGCUUCCAGAGAGGUGACUGACGUUAAAUGUAUUUUCUCUGUGUUGCCAUCUGGCAGCUGCUUGUACAACAACAGAGUAACAUGCAGAAUUUGGCUGAGACUUAUCCCAAGAAUCACAUCAAGGAUACUUGUAACACAGACUCUGGAAUGGAAAAAAGCUUACAAGGAAAGUUUUGUCAGCUGCGGGCAUUACAGGCACAAUGUUGCAGGAUCCACCACGAGACUCCCUGAAGGAAAUUUGACUCAGAGCAGGAUGGCACCUGAACUGAACAAAAUCUGCUGGCAUCUCCACCUGCAACCUUGUCCAUACUCUCCUUCACCUGUGAGAUGAAGCCCACAGGUAUCUCAUGGGAGCCCUCCUGUUUUAGGAGGGGGCAGGACAGACUCCCCUGCUGGGACUGCUGUGUACAGGUAUUUUUUUCUCUCCCCCAGCCCUGUGUUAUUACUCUCCCUUCCCUCCUCAUCCCUCCCUUCCCUGCUAAUGACCGAGGAACCUGAAUUCCUGAACGGCCUGGCUGCUCCGAGGCUGACACAGAUGGGUUAGCUCAGCUCUCUGCCCCCAUUUUAUUUUAUUGUGCUGAUUUAACUGCACAGCCAAGCCAGGGCUUCCUGCUCAGGUGGUUUGAGAUGGCUGGUGGGGAGCAGGUCUGUCAUGGGCUGUGUUUGCACAGCAGGAUUACUGGGGAUGCCUGCUCUAGAGCAGCCUCAAACACUGAGCCAAAGCCGGUUUGCUUCUAAGCCAUUUAACCCUUUAAAAGGAGGAAAAAGAAAUAAAGGAGGUCAACCAUGAAAGAGAAUUUAAUAAUUGCAGCUCCUACAUAAAUAUUUGCUGCUUCUCCCAAGUGCAUGAUUCCUCUAGUUCCUCUUGUUAAAGAGGACUACCCGUGGGACUCUUGGUUUAAAAAUAUUUCUGUUUCCAAAGCCUUUUAAGGACCUUAUUUAGUCCAUAUUGCCGUGGGGGAGGGACAGGGAGAGGGGCCAGAAGGGGCCUGGAUAUGCAGAAGCAGCUCUCUGACAUGUCCUCCCUGGGUCAGGGUGCAAAGGAGACCCUCUCCCUCCAAAAUGUUGUUCCUGUUUCCUUCCCCUGCUUGCCCCCUGGCCAGAGCAGCAAGCCAAGGUCUGUAGAUUUUUUUUCCCCCCUUCCCAAGCAGCUUUCUCCUGGCACAGCAGCCCGGUGCCAUCCUCAGGGCAGCAGAAUUCACAGAGGAGCACAGUGAAAUGGCAUCCUGGUAACUGGGAGAGUAUUUCCAGCAGGCCUGCUGCAGCAAGGGCGGGCUGAAGGACAGAGCUGGGGCUGCAGUUCUUGCCUUGUGUCUGAACCGGGCUGUGGCAGCCAAAACAGGAGGGGGCAGACAGGGCUUCGGGCAGGAAGCUGCUUUAGGGGAAUGUGCAUUAAUCCCCCUCCUUAGGCCCUCUUUAAAUGAUCACAGGCUGGAGGGUAUUUUAAAAGAAGCUAAAAGGAAGACACUUCACUGCUUUAUCCCCAUGGCUUUGGAUUUUCAAAGGAAUUUGAGUAUCCAGAAAGACUUUUUUCACUCUGCACAGACCAUGAAUUCUCAUCAGUCUCCUUUUCUUGUGCCAUCUUUUCAUCUCCCUGAUCCCUUUCUCCCCAUCGCUGAGCCACAUCUGGCUUUCCUGAAAGCAAAGCCUCAAAAAAAACCCAACAACAACAACAAAAAAAACCCCAUAUAUUUGAAGCACUCCAUUUCCCUGUGUGUGUUCCAGCCCUCAUUUUCCCUCGGAGAGGUUUGGACGUGCGAGGACAGUCCUCUGCAGCAGAAACCUUGGAGUAAAAGUGUUAAUUGCUGAAGGUUUGGGGUUUGGUUUUGCUAACCACAAGUGCAAGUGGAAACAGCCUCAUAGGAUACAGUUGCUCAGAGAGCUGGCAGGUGUUAAAUAGCACACCCAGAGCUCCAGCAUCCUCCGGCUGCUCGGCUUUGUGGUGGUUUCUGACUAAUAGGCGCCAGCUUCACUUCUACCUUUGAGGAGCCUUGGCAGAUGCUCACUGAGCCACCCCCAGGGCUCCAGACAGGCUAAGUUAGAGCCUUGUUCAAGCCCCGGGAGGCACAGGCCAUCCCACAAACUGAUGUAUCAAAUGGGGCUUCUCCGACUUCUUAAAAGCAGCUUUCCACUCUCUUGCAUGUGGGCAGAAACCCCAAAUCCUUAUGACAUCUAUGUGAAACUGCCUCUUUCAUGUCAAGCAGUUUCCAUCCAAGACAUUGAACUGAAAUUUUAUUUUGAUGUACCAAGUGUGCCUGAGGUUAGUUUUUUAUGGGGCAGGACAUGGCUGCACAAAGCCAUAAAGAAGCAAAACUAUCUUUUGGGGGUUGUUUCCCCUUUCAGAAAACAGAUCUUUCCUAAGGACUCUAAACAUGUCCUUUCUCCCCUCAGCCUCCUGAUCUUUUUCAGGGGUGGGACCAAAAGUCUUUGUGAAAUGCAGCCUUGCUGUUUCUCUAGCUCCAGGAGCCCCAGUGGGACAAUUGCACCUGUGGUGGUUGGGAGAGCCAAAGCCUGGCCCUGCUCUGGUUUUAUGUUCAUGAUCCAUGUCUGCAACAGGGCUUUUUAAAUACAAGAAGUUCAAGAUCAGGAAUGUUCCAAGUUUCCCUUUUAACUUCUAAAAAAAUUUAAAAAAAUAUGGGAUGGCUGGGAGGUUCCUGGUUUCCCCAAAUAUCAAGCAUUUUGCUUAUACAAAGAGGGUUUGGAAUGAGAGUUUUUUCUACAGCCCUUGUGCUUCCAGCUGGAAGGCCAAGUGUGGUGUGUGCCAAGAGCCCAAACUGAAAGGGUUGCCAUAAGCUGAAGAUGGAUUUUCAGGUGGGUUCAGGGAGAGCCAGCCCUCCCAGCCCUGGUGCUGACAGCACUACUCCAAGCACAAUCAAACCAGCAUUCCAUCCAGGACAGCUCUGUCAGGCACAGA